UUCGGUUGAUCCCGCCGGACCCGACUGCUAUCAGAGUGGGACUAAGCCAUGCGAGUCAACAUAGCAAUAUGUGGCAUACGGCUCAGUAACACGUAGUCAACAUGCCCAGGGGACGUGGAUAACCUCGGGAAACUGAGGAUAAACCGCGAUAGGUCAUCACUUCUGGAAUGGGUAAUGACUUAAAUCUAUAUGGCCCCUGGAUUGGACUGCGGCCGAUCAGGCUGUUGGUGAGGUAAUGGCCCACCAAACCUGUAACCGGUACGGGCUCUGAGAGGAGGAGCCCGGAGAUGGGCACUGAGACAAGGGCCCAGGCCCUAUGGGGCGCAGCAGGCGCGAAACCUCUGCAAUAGGCGAAAGCUUGACAGGGUUACUCUGAGUGAUUUCCGUUAAGGAGAUCUUUUGGCACCUCUAAAAAUGGUGCAGAAUAAGGGGUGGGCAAGUCUGGUGUCAGCCGCCGCGGUAAUACCAGCACCCCGAGUGGUCGGGACGUUUAUUGGGCCUAAAGCAUCCGUAGCCGGUUCUACAAGUCUUCCGUUAAAUCCACCUGCUUAACAGAUGGGCUGCGGAAGAUACUAUAGAGCUAGGAGGCGGGAGAGGCAAGCGGCACUCGAUGGGUAGGGGUAAAAUCCGUUGAUCCAUUGAAGACCACCAGUGGCGAAGGCGGCUUGCCAGAACGCGCUCGACGGUGAGGGAUGAAAGCUGGGGGAGCAAACCGGAUUAGAUACCCGGGUAGUCCCAGCUGUAAACGAUGCAGACUCGGUGAUGAGUUGGCUUAUUGCUAACUCAGUGCCGCAGGGAAGCCGUUAAGUUUGCCGCCUGGGGAGUACGGUCGCAAGACUGAAACUUAAAGGAAUUGGCGGGGGAGCA
Molecule: ribosomal RNA, 867 nt
Filed under: uncultured archaeon
Lineage: Archaea
Description: bacterial SSU rRNA
Rfam family: Archaeal small subunit ribosomal RNA
Source: RNAcentral